AACAAAAAUGUCCAGCACCUCCAAGAAUCAUCUAUGGAGAAAUUAAAUCCUUAGUCCAUACAGAAUACCCUUCGGGAUCGAGAGUAGACUAUCAAUGUCAGCAGCUUUACAAGCCUCAGGGAAAUCUAACAAUUGUAUGUGAAAAUGGAAGUUGGUCAGAUGUCCCUGUUUGUUUGGGUGAGUAAACUAACAAUGUUUCGCUUAAGGUAAAUAUAUAUAGUAAUCAGGGGUGGAAGAACCACUGGAAAAUUAUUUAAUCAGAACAGAGUAAAAAAAAAGAAUAUUCAUCAACAAUGCACAGUGUUGUACAUUUUACUGCAAAAUGUCUUUUAAUGUAAUGCUCAUUGUGUAUUAUUGCAUUGCUGAGCUCCACAACAAUAAAACAAGCUAGUACAUUUGGGUUGAUACUGUAGGGAAUAAUGUGGAGUAGUUGGCAUUGUGGAAGAUAAGAUGGAAACAAAUCCAUACAGUACCUCCCAUUCUCUCUUUUAUUACCUACAGUAUCCCACUAUAAUAAAAUGGAAGUCAGGUAGAUAAAACCCUGCAACGUUAACAACCUUACAUCUUAUUUCUCCACAGGCCUUGUUAUUGGCCUAUAUCUGCUUUCUAUUUCACUUCCAGUACCCAAAUUUCCUCCCCUGCCAAAGUCCCGUCCUCUUCUAAAGUCUAAACCCAUGUCCCCGCAUCUUACUAGGUCUCUAUGUCACUUCCUCUUGUUAAGUCUCUGGGCCCCCUUCACUUCCUAUGGCCCUAUGCCCUCUCCUUUCUAUGUAUCCCUUCUUUCCCCAAAUCCCCAUGUACACAGUAAAUUAUGGAGAACAAGCCGAAUGAGGAGAGAAUGCAUAGUCUUGCUACAAGACAAUAAGUGAGUGUUUGGAUUUACUGUAACAUACACUUUGGAGCUCUGUUGGGGUUUUGGCGAAAGGGCAGAGUCCAAUAUUAAGCAAAUUUUAAUCCUGGGAAUCCAUCCAAUAAUGGCUACGACAAAAAGCAAAGUCGGGGUCAGAAUCCAGGUCAGGAGCAUUGUAAGCAUUGUUAGAAUAUAAAUGCCAAGUUCAGAUAUUUGGUAAGACACAGAAUACAGGAUAUAGCAACAGAAUAGUUGGGAUGUCAGAGCCAAGGGCAACAGCCAAAUGUGUAGAGUAAUAGUAGUAAUGGAUACAGGCUGCAAAGGAUCUAUGUAACACAAAACCAUGCAGACCAGGGGACUCAGUCGAACGACUUGGUGUUCUCAUGGUAAUUCCUAAAUAGGAAAAGUGAACUACAAUAAUCUGAAAUAAUUUAUUAGAAAACAAAGAGCCAGUAUGACUUCACUGAGCCUGACAACUGAGUAAUUUAACCCUUACUUGAGAGACAUUCUAACACCUAAGUUCUUAUGUCCCCUCUCUCUCCAAACCCCCAUACCACUGUGAGAAGAGUCCUUAUGUCCCCUCGUCUUUCCAAAUGCCUGUAUUCCCUCCUAUCACAAAGCCUAAUUCAUUUUCUUACAACUGAAGUGGCCUCAUGCCUGCAUAUGGAGCAGGAUGGGGAGAGAGGGUGGCUGUGGGACAAAUGAAGGGGAGAGAGGUUGGCUAUGGGGCAAAUGAAGGGGAAGGCCCGGUGGAUUCUAGUUACGCCUCUGAUUGUAAACAUGUCUUGGGGGGAGAACAAGCCCCAAUGCCCCUUGAUCUGCACUUGCUAGUAGUUUUUAAGGUAUCACAGUGUUGAAUUGUGAGCAAUUUCAUCAAUGCAUUUCUUUUCUUGCAAAUGCCGUGUCUUACUUAUUUUGUAUUUCUCUAGAUUUGCAACAUUUGUGCUUGUGUUUAGAAUUAAAAUGAAGAAAUGAGUGGAAAUUGUCUCCUCUGUUUUCAGAACCAUGCACAGUAAGUCAGAAAGACAUGACAAAAAAUAACAUACAGCUAAGGUGGAAAACAGAUAAUAAAUUGUAUUCUGAACAUGACAACAUUGUGGAAUUUAUCUGCUCCCCUGGAUUUGAAAUUCAGCCAUCUUCAACGCUUCGAGUUAAAUGCAACAGAGGAAAAUUAAUGUACCCUAGAUGCUUUAAGCAAGG
Molecule: long non-coding RNA, 2050 nt
Filed under: Pelobates cultripes (western spadefoot toad)
Lineage: Eukaryota; Metazoa; Chordata; Amphibia; Anura; Pelobatidae
Source: RNAcentral